RNAcentral lists this ribosomal RNA (207 nucleotides) under uncultured bacterium. RNAcentral's name for it is "partial 16S ribosomal RNA". It matches the Rfam family "Bacterial small subunit ribosomal RNA", at positions 568 to 774 of the family's 1533-position model. The record is from RNAcentral.
AGCGUAGACGGUGUGGCAAGUCUGAUGUGAAAGGCAUGGGCUCAACCUGUGGACUGCAUUGGAAACUGUCAUACUUGAGUGCCGGAGGGGUAAGCGGAAUUCCUAGUGUAGCGGUGAAAUGCGUAGAUACUAGGAGGAACACCAGUGGCGAAGGCGGCUUACUGGACGGUAACUGACGUUGAGGCUCGAAAGCAUGGGUAGCGAACA